Salvia splendens (bonfire salvia) is the source of this 1655-nucleotide RNA transcript. It is a transcript of the gene named UDP-glucose iridoid glucosyltransferase-like, with no coding region annotated. The record is from RefSeq and is a predicted model, not a curated record. Lineage: Eukaryota; Viridiplantae; Streptophyta; Magnoliopsida; Lamiales; Lamiaceae. The transcript is spliced from 2 exons.
ACAACACACUCUCCUUCCUAAAAACCAUCGGCUAUUCUCUCUCUCUACUGAGUUCUUCCCCAAACAUUGAAGAAGUUUAAAACUCUACUUGAAACUCAGUACCCAUCCACAAAUAAACCCCGCAGGCUCUCCCUCUCUCUCCCAGAAUCGCAACACCGAAAGAAUGAGAAAAAAAAAUUAGAACUCCGUCGUUUGCUCCAAAUAGCCGUUGCACCGGAGUCGACGCCGCUGCUGACUCCGAUUUGUCGCCCGCGGAAGCUCCAGGUGUCGCCGCUGUCUCCGGCCGAGCGGCAGCUGUCCCUCCUCCGUCUCUACCCUUCUUUCUUUCUUUCUCUCCGUUGCUUUGUUUCUCGGGGAUUAAAUUUUUUCAGUUGGGACAGAGGGCUAAGGUGAUUUAAAAUUAUCCUAAAUGAAUGCAAGGAAUUUAAUGCUAGGAACUGAUCGGUGGUUACCUUCUUAGUCGGCAGAAAACUCUCUUCUCCAACUCGGUUCUUUCUCUAAAUUUUAGUUCCCGAUUUUUCUUGGUAUUAAGUUUAUGUGUAGAAAGAUCGUGGGAUUGAUUGGAUAUAUAUAUAGGAAAAACUGAUAGAUGUUGAUGGAUUUGGUGGUUGGAGAGAUUUUAGGGAGUGGAGAUAUGGGGAAAACGUUCGUUGAUGGGAUUUGGGAGAAAUAUAUUUGACCAAAAUUUGACUGCUUGACUAGAAUGAAUAAUUAAUAUUUCGGGCUUCUAAAAAAAAUAAAUUCCAUAGACUCUCAAAAUAAAACGGAACGAUAUUUGGCUAAAAAAAUUCGACGGCAAUUCAAAAAAACUAACUUAAAAGAAAUAGAAAAAGACGGGGCGUCACAAUUUUGUGAUGCAAACAUGGGUGCUCAACAUCGAGUGCAACAUCAUUCUGAGGGUCAUGGAUUGAUUGCGGUCUUGAAAGCAAGAAUAAAGAUGGCGUAAAGGAGACACGAUGAUGGAAAGAAUGGUCGAACUGAGGAGGAGAUUUGACCAAGCACAUAGGGAGCCACCCGACCGAGUGGCUUGAUGGAGGGAUAGUCACCCGCCCGCGUGAAAUGCGGCUGGAGGGAAGGUGGUGCACCCAACCGGGUGCCAUUAGGUAACCUCACCUAUUUGCUUAGUAUGGUUCAAACUGGAUAGCUUGAAGGACCCGAUCGGAUCACUACUGCACAGUCUACACCCAAACCUACCCCGCCUAGUAGAGCUUUUAGAAUCAGCAAUUUGAAGGACCCCAGACGGGUAGGUUGGGGCACUAAUUCCACAAGGUCGGGUAGCACUGUCAUAAGUUCGCUUACAAUAUUUUAACAUUUUUUUCUUUUAUUUGGACCCUAAUUAUAACUAGCCUUUUUGGGCUCAUUUAUGAUCAACUUUAUCGAUUUAACAAACCAUUUUAUGAUUUCCAUCCUUUCCAGAAAAAUAUAUCUAUCAAUUAUAUUUUGAUGUUGCUUAAUUAAUCUUCAAUUGCUUAAUGCAUCCACAUUGGUGCGGAUGUCCCGGCGGACAUCCCCGCAGACAUCCCAAAAAUAUCUCUUGCCACGUUAUAAGGACUUCCCACUGCACUGCCACGUCAUAAGGACUUCUCACUGCACAGUGGCGGACAUCCCCAAGGACAUCCCAACGGACUUUCCACAUUAAUAAAAAUUCACAAAUU